AUUUUAUGGAUGAUGUAGAACAAAUAGGUUACUUACAAAAAAAUUAUAAAAUUACUAAGUGGUAGGAUGAAAAUUUCCAUCCAUGGAUGGAAUCAAGGUUCUUUCCAGUACUUUAUAUGGCCUUUUGUUCUUGAGAAAGGUGAGAUUCUCACCACCUAAUUGUAGCUCCAAUAAUAAGGGUAUCAUCCAUUCUAACUUCCCUCAAGAAAGCUAAAGGAUGCCUAAAAUAGCAAGACCUAAUGGACAUAAGUUCAACCAACCUUCAGAAAUCUUGUCAACGCAGAGCUUCAUACAUCUACUAACUAAUCGGAUUUGUUAUGUAGGUCAUGGUCUUUAUACCUUCCUUUGUCUAACUAGAGACACCAGCAAUCAAAUAGAUAAAUUCAACACCGAAUAAAAGGAAAGAUGGUUAGAAAAGAAUACUGAAUACAUAACAAAAGGAAAGAGGUUGAGAAUGGCCUGCAAAGAUCAAGAUCAAGAUCAAGCAUAGCAGGGACAUCCUUUUGUAAUGACCAUGAUUUUGCAGCUCCUCUCAACAAGAAGAGCUGGGUUUCAUGGCUGCUCCUCUGGGUUCCUGCAGAGCUACAUGAAUUGAUGAGAGGAAUGGCCUUUGACCUUCCAGAAAAA
This is a long non-coding RNA of Lontra canadensis (Northern American river otter), 627 nucleotides long. RefSeq lists it as uncharacterized. The transcript is spliced from 4 exons. NCBI's taxonomy places the organism in Eukaryota, Metazoa, Chordata, Mammalia, Carnivora, Mustelidae. The record is from RefSeq and is a predicted model, not a curated record.